UCAUGCUUGUCCUGCUCGAGGAGCAGGAGGAGGAGGGGCGCAUCUAGCCAGCCACAAAGGGCCUGCUCUGUACGACCACGUCAUCGGCCUGCUGCAGCAUCGAGUUCAAUAUGUCAGGAGCUCGAGGUCUACAAAAUUUGAAGAUCGAAACCAUAUAGCUCUACUCAGCAAAGAGCCGUCUCUUCUGUUUGAUUGUAAUAGAAUGUAAAUAUUGCAAUAUUGUAAUAGUAGGCAUAUCUGGGUUGUA
Non-coding RNA from Triticum urartu, 247 nucleotides. NCBI's taxonomy places the organism in Eukaryota, Viridiplantae, Streptophyta, Magnoliopsida, Poales, Poaceae. The record is from RefSeq and is a predicted model, not a curated record.